UGGGGAAUCUUGGACAAUGGGGGCAACCCUGAUCCAGCCAUGCCGCGUGAGUGAUGAAGGCCUUAGGGUCGUAAAGCUCUUUCGCCUGUGAAGAUAAUGACGGUAGCAGGUAAAGAAACCCCGGCUAACUCCGUGCCAGCAGCCGCGGUAAUACGGAGGGGGUUAGCGUUGUUCGGAAUUACUGGGCGUAAAGCGCACGUAGGCGGACCAGAAAGUUGGGGGUGAAAUCCCGGGGGCUCAACCCCGGAACUGCCUCCAAAACUAUCGGUCUAGAGUUCGAGAGAGGUGAGUGGAAUUCCGAGUGUAGAGGUGAAAUUCGUAGAUAUUCGGAGGAACACCAGUGGCGAAGGCGGCUCACUGGCUCGAUACUGACGCUGAGGUGCGAAAGUGUGGGGAGCAAACAGGAUUAGAUACCCUGGUAGUCCACACCGUAAACGAUGAAUGCCAGUCGUCGGAUAGCAUGCUAUUCGGUGACACACCUAACGGAUUAAGCAUUCCGCCUGGGGAGUACGGUCGCAAGAUUAAAACUCAAAGGAAUU
This 539-nucleotide ribosomal RNA is filed under the name uncultured bacterium. RNAcentral's name for it is "bacterial SSU rRNA". It matches the Rfam family "Bacterial small subunit ribosomal RNA", at positions 355 to 911 of the family's 1533-position model. The record is from RNAcentral.